CUGUGCCGGGGACUGGCAGAUUCUCAAAGAACAUCGAAGAACUUCAGCAGGCACCUCCUCAAGCACUGGUCUCUGAGUGAGUCUUCACUACCGGGGAUGAGACUGGAGUGUCCAAGAUUUGAAGACAACAGCUGGCAAGCAGAGUGUACCAGACUGCCAGGACUGGGUGGGAUCUAAACUGAUAAAGAUUUUCCUAUUACGUGGAGAGACUUCACAUUCAAGACAACCCUUUCCCUAUUCGCAG
This is a long non-coding RNA of Mauremys reevesii (Reeves's turtle), 244 nucleotides long. RefSeq lists it as uncharacterized. NCBI's taxonomy places the organism in Eukaryota, Metazoa, Chordata, Testudines, Geoemydidae. The transcript has 3 exons. The record is from RefSeq and is a predicted model, not a curated record.